RNAcentral lists this ribosomal RNA (439 nucleotides) under uncultured bacterium. Its description in RNAcentral is "bacterial SSU rRNA". It matches the Rfam family "Bacterial small subunit ribosomal RNA", at positions 30 to 467 of the family's 1533-position model. The record is from RNAcentral.
AUUGAACGCUGGCGGCAUGCCUUACACAUGCAAGUCGAACGGCAGCACGGGAGCAAUCCUGGUGGCGAGUGGCGAACGGGUGAGUAAUAUAUCGGAACGUGCCCGGUCGUGGGGAUAACGUAGCGAAAGCUACGCUAAUACCGCAUACGAUCUAUGGAUGAAAGCGGGGGAUCGCAAGACCUCGCGCGAUUGGAGCGGCCGAUAUCAGAUUAGGUAGUUGGUGAGGUAAAGGCUCACCAAGCCGACGAUCUGUAGCUGGUCUGAGAGGACGACCAGCCACACUGGGACUGGGACACGGCCCAGACUCCUACGGGAGGCAGCAGUGGGGAAUUUUUGGACAAAUGGGCGCAAGCCUGAUCCAGCAAUGCCGCGUGCAGGAUGACGGUCCUAUGGAUUGUAAACUGCUUUUAUACAGGAAGAAACCCUACCCACGUGUGGG